UAAAUACCAUGAUUAUAACCCUUAAAAUCAGGGUUUAUUUUCUUAAAAUCAGGUCAGUCUCCCCUGAAGUGGGACUUCUGGUCAUGGUAGCGGCCCUAAUAUUUCCUAAAUUUGAAGCGAUGGUCACAGAUCGGUUGCGCUGAAAUAUACUGAGAAAGGGACAUUUAUCGGCAUUUAUAAAGCUUAAAAAACAGUAUUCCCAGAUUCAGAGUCUUUUUUUAAAAAAAUCCAAUAUAACCAUUUUAGUAAUGAUACCUGAAAUGCCCGAAAUCCACGAUUAGAAUUUCACUAAUGAUACAGGGCAAACUCCCUCGGGACACGUAAUGAAUAUUAGAUUACAUGGAAUGGCAUGGCCCUCAAUAUGCCUCGAAUAAACCAUCUAGAGAAAAUAAAAUCUUUUUUGUUUUACUUUUUAUUCAACCAAAUUCUGAGAGUCAUGAUUUUAAAUUGAUGAUGGCAAAUGACUCUGUCGGAUUAUUCACUUCAGUUAAAGUGACUUCCUCUUGGCACUCCGAAACUCUACUCUUGGAAGUUGCAGAAGUUUAAGUACCCUUAUGACGGGGUCUCCCCGCAGCUUGGUCAGGAAAACCACAUUCCACUGCCCUCCGGCAGGUGUGGAGGAAGGAAUCGUGUGGGGGAAGACAUUGCUCUGCAGGGAAAUGAUCUUUAAGAUCAAGGGGACUUCAACAUUGGAACAGCUGGGUGCUGCCUUCUAAAUGGGCAUCAUACAAAGGGAAGCACCUCUAAUCGAGGCCUCCAGGCUACAUUGCUGCUUCAUGCUGUGGGAGACAAAUGGAUCCUGUCAGGAAAUGUACGGUGCAGAGGCUGAACUGAUGCUUUAUUUAAGGAUAAACUUCAUCUGGUUGGCUGGGUCCAACCCAAGACCUGAUGACAAAGGCUUGCUCUCGGGAACCGGGGUGGGGAAGCAAGGAGGUUCGUGAGGAGAGAGCCAUGGAGAUGGACAUAGUGAGAGAGAAAGCGCAAGAGACCGAAUCAGUAAGAGAACCAGGGGGAGACAAAAGAAAGAUUUUAGUUGCAGUCUGAAUAUUCUUGGUGGGCCCCUCAUCUGACAAUCAGCUAAAGCACCUCCCACGGAACCACACUGGCUCCCUUCUCUACCUACAAGGAGAGUCCACUGUUUCCUCCCUUCUUCCCCUUAAGGAAAGAGAAUAGCACUUUCAGAAUGAGCCCUCCACAAAACCUCAGGAAGGUUGGAGGCUGCUGUGGCAGUUGCUUGGGCUAUGGGUGUGCCCUGAACUCCGAUCCUUGAGCGGUCUGAAAUGCUUCUCUUCUAGCCAUAGCACCCUGAUGAUUUUUGUUUCAAUUUUGUGCAUUUGACCUUGUCUUUUCCAUGUUUUAGGGUUUUAUUGUUCAAUCGCUCCAAUGUGUCUGUUGUCAGCCCUCUCUCCCAUAUAAGAUUCAGAUUGUGAACUCCUUGGUUCUACCCUCUUUGGACACCUGGACAGAGAUCACUGGACCCAAGUCGUUACGCUAAGGUUGAUGAUUUGUUUUGUGAAACCCCAACUAGGAUCAUUCCUCGGGUUCCCUCCUAGCUACCCUGCCAAGCAGCCUGCGGUGUUGACGUGAGGUGCAUAUGGAAGACUAAGCAAUCAUCCAAGCUUGGAUCUAUUUUUUUUUGAAAACGCUAUUAUAGCUCAUCCAAAUAUUUAACGCGGAUUGUGACAUCUCUCCCGAUCUGGGCCGUUUCAGUCAGGGGAAUACCGUGAAGUGCCAAUCAGUGUCUUUGGCAAACCAGUCUGUCACAGUAGCUGUCAGCUGGUUAACAGAUCAGAACAUCAAGUCAUUUGCUUAAAUGGUUUUUGUUCUUUGUACAUUCCACCAACGGCCCGAAACUUCUGUGCAUUCAGGCGAAAGAAUAAAAAUGUGAUGAAUUCCAAA
Molecule: long non-coding RNA, 1899 nt
Organism: Ornithorhynchus anatinus (platypus)
Lineage: Eukaryota; Metazoa; Chordata; Mammalia; Monotremata; Ornithorhynchidae
Exons: 4
Source: RefSeq, a predicted model, not a curated record